GAUGAACGCUGGCGGCGUGCCUAAUACAUGCAAGUCGAGCGAACAGACGAGGAGCUUGCUCCUCUGACGUUAGCGGCGGACGGGUGAGUAACACGUGGAUAACCUACCUAUAAGACUGGGAUAACUUCGGGAAACCGGAGCUAAUACCGGAUAAUAUAUUGAACCGCAUGGUUCAAUAGUGAAAGACGGUUUUGCUGUCACUUAUAGAUGGAUCCGCGCCGCAUUAGCUAGUUGGUAAGGUAACGGCUUACCAAGGCAACGAUGCGUAGCCGACCUGAGAGGGUGAUCGGCCACACUGGAACUGAGACACGGUCCAGACUCCUACGGGAGGCAGCAGUAGGGAAUCUUCCGCAAUGGGCGAAAGCCUGACGGAGCAACGCCGCGUGAGUGAUGAAGGUCUUCGGAUCGUAAAACUCUGUUAUUAGGGAAGAACAAAUGUGUAAGCAACUAUGCACGUCUUGACGGUACCUAAUCAGAAAGCCACGGUUAACUACGUG
This 497-nucleotide ribosomal RNA is filed under the name uncultured bacterium. RNAcentral's name for it is "partial 16S ribosomal RNA". It matches the Rfam family "Bacterial small subunit ribosomal RNA", at positions 28 to 507 of the family's 1533-position model. The record is from RNAcentral.